GGGUUGUAAAUUUUUUUUGUACAGGGAUAAACCUAUUUACGGGUAAAUAGCUGAAGGUACUGUACGAAUAAGCACCGGUUAAUUCCGUGCCAGCAGCCGCGGUAAUACGGAGGGUGCAAGCGUUAUCCGGAUUUAUUGGGUUUAAAGGGUCCGUAGGGGGAUCUGUAAGUCAGUGGUGAAAUCUCACAGCUUAACUGUGAAACUGCCAUUGAUACUGCAGGUCUUGAGUAAGGUAGAAGUGGCUGGAAUAAGUAGUGUAGCGGUGAAAUGCAUAGAUAUUACUUAGAACACCAAUUGCGAAGGCAGGUCACUAUGUCUUAACUGACGCUGAUGGACGAAAGCGUGGGGAGCGAACAGGAUUAGAUACCCUGGUAGUCCACGCCGUAAACGAUGCUAACUCGUUUUUGGGGCUUUACGCUUCAGAGACUAAGCGAAAGUGAUAAGUUAGCCACCUGGGGAGUACGUUCGCAAGAAUGAAACUCAAAGGAAUUGACGGGGGCCCGCACAAGCGGUGGAUUAUGUGGUUUAAUUCGAUGAUACGCGAGGAACCUUACCAAGGCUUAAAUGGGAAUUGACCGGUUUAGAAAUAGACCUUCCUUCGGGCAAUUUUCAAGGUGCUGCAUGGUUGUCGUCAGCUCGUGCCGUGAGGUGUUAGGUUAAGUCCUGCAACGAGCGCAACCCCUGUUACUAGUUGCUACCAUUAAGUUGAGGACUCUAGUAAGACUGCCUACGCAAGUAGAGAGGAAGGUGGGGAUGACGUCAAAUCAUCACGGCCCUUACGCCUUGGGCCACACACGUAAUACAAUGGCCGGUACAGAGGGCAGCUACACAGCGAUGUGAUGCGAAUCUCGAAAGCCGGUCUCAGUUCGGAUUGGAGUCUGCAACUCGACUCUAUGAAGCUGGAAUCGCUAGUAAUCGCGCAUCAGCCAUGGCGCGGUGAAUACGUUCCCGGGCCUUGUACACACCGCCCGUCAAGCCAUGGAAGUCUGGGGUACCUGAAGUCGGUGACCGUAAAAGGAGC
RNAcentral lists this ribosomal RNA (1021 nucleotides) under Chryseobacterium camelliae. RNAcentral's name for it is "bacterial SSU rRNA". It matches the Rfam family "Bacterial small subunit ribosomal RNA", at positions 420 to 1453 of the family's 1533-position model. Lineage: Bacteria; Pseudomonadati; Bacteroidota; Flavobacteriia; Flavobacteriales; Weeksellaceae. The record is from RNAcentral.